Molecule: ribosomal RNA, 412 nt
Filed under: uncultured prokaryote
Description: bacterial SSU rRNA
Rfam family: Bacterial small subunit ribosomal RNA
Source: RNAcentral
GUGUCAGCCGCCGCGGUAAUACGGAGGGGGCUAGCGUUGUUCGGAAUUACUGGGCGUAAAGGGGGCGUAGGCGGCCGUGAAAGUCCGGUGUGAAAACUCACGGCUCAACCGUGGGACUGCGCUGGAAACUACACGGCUUGAGGACGGUAGAGGGAGACGGAACUGCUGGUGUAGGGGUGAAAUCCGUAGAUAUCAGCAGGAACGCCGGUGGAGAAGUCGGUCUCCUGGGCCGUUCCUGACGCUGAGGCCCGAAAGCUAGGGGAGCAAACCGGAUUAGAUACCCGGGUAGUCCUAGCCGUAAACGAUGCCCACUAGGUGUGGGGGAGUAAUUCCUCCGUGCUGAAGCUAACGCCAUAAGUGGGCCGCCUGGGGAGUAUGCCCGCAAGGGUGAAACUCAAAUGAAUUGACGGGG